UACGAAGGGGGCUAGCGUUGCUCGGAAUCACUGGGCGUAAAGGGCGCGUAGGCGGUCUGUUAAGUGGGAAGUGAAAUCUCCAGGGCUCAACCCGGAAACUGCUUUCUAUACUGGCAGGCUGGAGGGAUGCAGAGGUGUGUGGAAUUCCUGGUGAAGCGGUGAAAUGCGUAGAUAUCAGGAGGAACACCCAUGGCGAAGGCAGCACACUGGGCAUCAUCUGACGCUGAGGCGCGAAAGCGUGGGUAGCAAACAGG
RNAcentral lists this ribosomal RNA (254 nucleotides) under uncultured bacterium. RNAcentral describes it as "partial 16S ribosomal RNA". It matches the Rfam family "Bacterial small subunit ribosomal RNA", at positions 524 to 776 of the family's 1533-position model. The record is from RNAcentral.